GUCCACGCUGUAAACGAUGAGUGCUAGAUGCUAUGGGUAUUGACCCCUGUGGUGUCGUAGCUAACGCGUUAAGCACUCCGCCUGGGGAGUACGGUCGCAAGACUAAAACUCAAAGGAAUUGACGGGGGCCCCGCACAAGCGGUGGAGCAUGUGGUUCAAUUCGACGCAACGCGCAGAACCUUACCUGGGUUAAAUCCACUCGAACCUGCCAGAGAUGGUGGGGUGCCCUUCUGGGGAGCGAGUGAGAAGGUGCUGCAUGGCUGUCGU
Molecule: ribosomal RNA, 267 nt
Filed under: uncultured bacterium
Lineage: Bacteria
Description: partial 16S ribosomal RNA
Rfam family: Bacterial small subunit ribosomal RNA
Source: RNAcentral